GUAUUGAUUGCGUGUGACCGCAAAAAUAACAUUCUACACUGUAUCAAGUUUUGUGUGAAAACGUGAGCCCUCCUGCAAAGGGGACCCACGCGGUGAUGCACAAAGGGUGAGAUGGAUUAUUAUGUGAGGGAACACACCCGGGCGUGCACGACUUUGGGUCAGCGACAGCCCUUGCAUGCCCCUCACAUUUUGUACGAUAAUGAUCCUUCCGCAGGUUCACCUACGGAAA
This 229-nucleotide unclassified non-coding RNA is filed under the name uncultured fungus. RNAcentral describes it as "sequence contains ITS1". Lineage: Eukaryota; Fungi. The record is from RNAcentral.